Molecule: ribosomal RNA, 269 nt
Filed under: uncultured archaeon
Lineage: Archaea
Description: partial 16S ribosomal RNA
Rfam family: Archaeal small subunit ribosomal RNA
Source: RNAcentral
CAGCACCUCAAGUGGUCAGGAUGAUUAUUGGGCCAAAGCAUCCGUAGCCGGCGCUGUAAGUUUUCGGUUAAAUCUGUACGCUCAACGUACAGGCUGCCGGGAAUACUGCAGCGCUAGGGAGUGGGAGAGGUAGACGGUACUCGGUAGGAAGGGGUAAAAUCCUUUGAUCUAUUGAUGACCACCUGUGGCGAAGGCGGUCUACCAGAACACGUCCGACGGUGAGGGAUGAAAGCUGGGGGAGCAAACCGGAUUAGAUACCCGAGUAGUCC